Megalobrama amblycephala (Wuchang bream) is the source of this 935-nucleotide long non-coding RNA. RefSeq lists it as uncharacterized. The transcript is spliced from 6 exons. Lineage: Eukaryota; Metazoa; Chordata; Actinopteri; Cypriniformes; Xenocyprididae. The record is from RefSeq and is a predicted model, not a curated record.
AGGUGUUCAGUGGAUGCUUUAGACACAUCCAGUUUCAGCUCAUUGAUCUGCUGAUCUAGCUGCUGGAGAUGAGUCUUCAAUCCCACAUCCUGUCUGCGUAAACGUGUCUGCAGGGUCAGAGCCCAGUGCACCAUGGCACUCUGUUUGUCCCGGAGGAAAUGCAGCUCCUGCAGUCCGGCCAGCGCUGCGUGCAGCCUCUCUCCUGUCCUUCCCCGGUCCAUUCCUGCAGCUGCGCUCAGCACACCUGAUCCAGUGUGAAACAACUCCUGUGUUUGGACGAAGCGCACGAGUGUACAGUACCUGUACGGGGCGGCGUACAAAGCAACCCCGCCCACCUCCGCGCUGACCGCGGAAAACCCCGCCCCUCGUUGGCUGAUUGGCGGACAAUGACUUAGGCUGCUUCAUGAAUGCAACCGUCCAAAUGAGACACAAAGGCCUCCAAACACAACCAUAGCGACAGACGGAGAUGCCACGCAGAGCUUUAAAAGGAUCGGAAAAUGUGAGAGGGCAGAAGAAAGGAGUGUUCGGUGAUAAGGUGUACCUGUAUUUGUGAGGCAAUAAAGGACAGGUUGACACAAACAAGAGGAAGUGCAGCAGGGGGAGUGAAAGGUAAACAGGAAUCUGUUGUCAUAUGUGAAGCUGAGACAGUGAGUGAUGAACUCAAGAAAACAAACAAGUUCACAAGCCUCACGGCCUUCAAGUCACCAGCAUCUGAUAUCAUGCACAAGGUUUACUCAUCUCCUCUCACACAUGUUCAUUUCAUGGGACUGUCAUAUAACUCAAGUGGAUAGAUGCCUGUGUGCAGUGGACAGAAGGGUUUUACCUGAAAGACUCCAUUUAGCUCUGGGAGAUUAUGUUUUAAGGCCGCAGGUCACCUUCACUGAAAGAAAAAAGCAACAUGGACAAACUCUCUCCCUCUGCAUGGAAGAAAGUAA